UCCCUGGGUGACGAGCGGCGGACGGGUGAGUAAUGUCUGGGAAACUGCCUGAUGGAGGGGGAUAACUACUGGAAACGGUAGCUAAUACCGCAUAACGUCGCAAGACCAAAGAGGGGGACCUUCGGGCCUCUUGCCAUCAGAUGUGCCCAGAUGGGAUUAGCUAGUAGGUGGGGUAAUGGCUCACCUAGGCGACGAUCCCUAGCUGGUCUGAGAGGAUGACCAGCCACACUGGAACUGAGACACGGUCCAGACUCCUACGGGAGGCAGCAGUGGGGAAUAUUGCACAAUGGGCGCAAGCCUGAUGCAGCCAUGCCGCGUGUGUGAAGAAGGCCUUCGGGUUGUAAAGCACUUUCAGCGAGGAGGAAGGUGGUGAGCUUAAUACGCUCAUCAAUUGACGUUACUCGCAGAAGAAGCACCGGCUAACUCCGUGCCAGCAGCCGCGGUAAUACGGAGGGUGCAAGCGUUAAUCGGAAUUACUGGGCGUAAAGCGCACGCGGGCGGUUUGUUAAGUCAGAUGUGAAAUCCCCGGGCUCAACCUGGGAACUGCAUUUGAAACUGGCAAGCUAGAGUCUCGUAGAAGGGGGUAGAAUUCCGGGUGUAGCGGUGAAAUGCGUAUAGAUCUGGGGGAAUACC
Molecule: ribosomal RNA, 633 nt
Filed under: bacterium UASWS0133
Lineage: Bacteria
Description: bacterial SSU rRNA
Rfam family: Bacterial small subunit ribosomal RNA
Source: RNAcentral